Molecule: ribosomal RNA, 326 nt
Filed under: uncultured eukaryote
Lineage: Eukaryota
Description: partial 18S ribosomal RNA
Rfam family: Eukaryotic small subunit ribosomal RNA
Source: RNAcentral
CCCUUAGAUGUUCUGGGCUGCACGCGCGCUACACUGAUGCACUCAACGAGUUUACGACCUUGCCCGAUAGGGUUGGGUAAUCUUUUUAAAAUGCAUCGUGAUGGGGAUAGAUUAUUGCAAUUAUUAAUCUUCAACGAGGAAUUCCUAGUAAGCGCGAGUCAUCAGCUCGUGCCGAUUACGUCCCUGCCCUUUGUACACACCGCCCGUCGCUCCUACCGAUUGAGUGCUCAGGUGAAUAAUUCGGACUGCAGCAAUGUUUGGAUCCCGAACGUUGCAGCGGAAAGUUUAGUGAACCUUAUCACUUAGAGGAAGGAGAAGUCGUAACA